UUGGCGGACGGGUGAGUAACGCGUGGAUAACCUGCCGUAUACUGGGGGAUAACACUUAGAAAUAGGUGCUAAUACCGCAUAAGCGCACAGUCUCGCAUGAGACGGUGUGAAAAACUCCGGUGGUAUACGAUGGAUCCGCGUCUGAUUAGCUUGUUGGUCGGGGUAACAGCCCACCAAGGCGACGAUCAGUAGCCGGCCUGAGAGGGUGAACGGCCACAUUGGGACUGAGACACGGCCCAAACUCCUACGGAAGGCAGCAG
This 260-nucleotide ribosomal RNA is filed under the name uncultured bacterium. RNAcentral describes it as "partial 16S ribosomal RNA". It matches the Rfam family "Bacterial small subunit ribosomal RNA", at positions 95 to 354 of the family's 1533-position model. The record is from RNAcentral.